ACGUAGGGACCAAGCGUUGUUCGGAUUUACUGGGCGUAAAGGGCGCGUAGGCGGCAAAUUAAGUCAUCUGUGAAAUCUCCGAGCUUAACUCGGAACGGUCAGGUGAUACUGAUCUGCUAGAGUGCGGAAGGGGCAAUCGGAAUUCUUGGUGUAGCGGUGAAAUGCGUAGAUAUCAAGAGGAACACCUGUGGCGAAAGCGGCUCACUGGACCACAACUGACGCUGAUGCGCGAAAGCUAGGGGAGCAAACAGGA
RNAcentral lists this ribosomal RNA (253 nucleotides) under uncultured prokaryote. RNAcentral describes it as "partial 16S ribosomal RNA". It matches the Rfam family "Bacterial small subunit ribosomal RNA", at positions 525 to 777 of the family's 1533-position model. The record is from RNAcentral.